RNAcentral lists this ribosomal RNA (393 nucleotides) under uncultured bacterium. RNAcentral's name for it is "partial 16S ribosomal RNA". It matches the Rfam family "Bacterial small subunit ribosomal RNA", at positions 523 to 918 of the family's 1533-position model. The record is from RNAcentral.
AUACGGAGGACGCGAGCGUUAUCCGGAUUCAUUGGGUUUAAAGGGUGCGCAGGCGGCCGUGCAAGUCAGCGGUGAAAGCCCGGGGCUCAACCCCGGAAGUACCGUUGAUACUGCAUGGCUGGAAUGCGGUCGAGGCGGGCGGGACGUGGCGGGUAGGGGGGAAAUGCGUAAAUAUGCCACAGAACGCCGAUAGCGGAGGCAGCGCGCCAGGCCUGCAUUGACGCUCGGGCACGAAAGCGUGGGGAUCGAACAGGAUUAGAUACCCUGGUAGUCCACGCCGUAAACGAUGGGCGCUCGUCGUCGGCGGCAGACAGUCGGCGGCCAAGCGAAAGCGAUAAGCGCCCCACCUGGGGAGUACGGUCGCAAGGCUGAAACUCAAAGGAAUUGGCGGGG